Long non-coding RNA from Pezoporus flaviventris, 266 nucleotides. RefSeq lists it as uncharacterized. The record is from RefSeq and is a predicted model, not a curated record. The transcript has 2 exons. Lineage: Eukaryota; Metazoa; Chordata; Aves; Psittaciformes; Psittacidae.
GUGUCUUUCCCCUGUUUGCUGGAAGUCUGCCAUAGCAUCUAGUGCUUGCGUUCAUGUCACAUUCGGAGAUUAGAGCAUCCUAACGCCAAGCAAGAAGAGUUAAAACAGGAAUCCAGUCAAGUCGUGAGCAACAAGAGGUGGUAACUGGAGAAAGUUGAUCAUAAUCCUAUGGAUGCUUUUGUUUUACUUUUCAGUAGAGAAUCAUUCUUCUGGAAAGCCAUGUGGGUUAUUUUUUUUUUCUUUAAUUCUUUGUAGACUAAAUAGUU